RNAcentral lists this ribosomal RNA (311 nucleotides) under uncultured bacterium. Its description in RNAcentral is "bacterial SSU rRNA". It matches the Rfam family "Bacterial small subunit ribosomal RNA", at positions 28 to 339 of the family's 1533-position model. The record is from RNAcentral.
GACGAACGCUGGCGGCGUGCUUAACACAUGCAAGUCGAGCGGUAAGGCCCUUUCGGGGGUACACGAGCGGCGAACGGGUGAGUAACACGUGGGUGACCUGCCCUCAGCUCUGGGAUAAGCCUGGGAAACCGGGUCUAAUACCGGAUAUGACUCCAUGACGCAUGUUGUGGGGUGGAAAGCCUUGUGCGGCUGAGGAUGGGCCCGCGGCCUAUCAGCUUGUUGGGUGGGGUGAUGGCCUACCAAGGCGACGACGGGUAGCCGGCCUGAGAGGGUGUCCGGCCACACUGGGACUGAGAUACGGCCCAGACUCC